UGAGCUAUGCUGUGAGGUCCUACUGAGGU
This 29-nucleotide non-coding RNA is filed under the name Rattus norvegicus (Norway rat). The record is from RNAcentral. Lineage: Eukaryota; Metazoa; Chordata; Mammalia; Rodentia; Muridae.